GUGGGGAAUUUUGGACAAUGGGCGCAAGCCUGAUCCAGCCAUUCCGCGUGCAGGAUGAAGGCCUUCGGGUUGUAAACUGCUUUUGUACGGAACGAAAAGCCUCUGGUUAAUACCCGGGGGUCAUGACGGUACCGGAAGAAUAAGCACCGGCUAACUACGUGCCAGCAGCCGCGGUAAUACGUAGGGUGCGAGCGUUAAUCGGAAUUACUGGGCGUAAAGCGUGCGCAGGCGGUGAUGUAAGACAGUUGUGAAAUCCCCGGGCUCAACCUGGGAAGUGCAUCUGUGACGGCAUUGCUGGAGUGCGGCAGAGGGGGAUGGAAUUCCGCGUGUAGCAGUGAAAUGCGUAGAUAUGCGGAGGAACACCGAUGGCGAAGGCAAUCCCCUGGGCCUGCACUGACGCUCAUGCACGAAAGCGUGGGGAGCAAACAGGAUUAGAAACCCGAGUAGUCC
Molecule: ribosomal RNA, 450 nt
Filed under: uncultured bacterium
Lineage: Bacteria
Description: partial 16S ribosomal RNA
Rfam family: Bacterial small subunit ribosomal RNA
Source: RNAcentral